RNAcentral lists this long non-coding RNA (672 nucleotides) under Ananas comosus (pineapple). RNAcentral describes it as "long non-coding RNA (ACOM_LNC003459)". Lineage: Eukaryota; Viridiplantae; Streptophyta; Magnoliopsida; Poales; Bromeliaceae. The record is from RNAcentral.
UGUUAGAGAUGAGUAGUAGCGUCAUAUGAAACACUACGGCUCCGUUUAGAUCGGAAAUUAUUAGGAACUAGUUAUACCGGGGAUAGGUACAAGUAUGAAUUUUUGUAGGAACAAGGGUAUUUUUUUAUUUGGAUGAAAUUGUGAGUAUAAGCUGUAACUAGAAAUAUUGUGUUUGGAUGAUUUUUGGGAAUAAGAGAAAUAGUUGGUAGUUAUAAAUAGAAAAUAAUAAUAUUAUCCCUAUAAUUGAAUUUUAAACUUAUAAUUUUAAAUUUAAAAUUUUAACUUUUAAAUUUAAAUUAGAAAUUAAAAUUUUAAAUUUUAAUAUUAAAAUUUUAAUUUUAAAUAUCAACUUUUAAAUUUCAGACCAAAUUUAAAUUUCAAAAAUAUAAAAUAACAAAUUUAAAAUUUGAAAACUAAAAAUAUCAAAUUUAAAAUUUAAAAAUUAAAAAUAUCAAAUUUAAAAUUUAAACUUUAAUAAAAUUUAAAAUUUGAAAACUUAAAAUAUCAAAUUUAAAAUUUAAAAUUUAAAAAUAUCAAAUUUAAAAUUUAAACUUUAUAAAAUUUAAAAUUUUAAUUUAUUUAUUAUAAUUACAAAAUUAUAAAAUUUAAAAAUUUAUAUUUAAAUUUAAAAUAAAUAUCUCUCUCUUUCUCUCUCGCUCUCUCUCUACUCAA